GAUGAAGAACGUAGCGAAAUGCGAUAAGUAAUGUGAAUUGCAGAAUUCAGUGAAUCAUCGAAUCUUUGAACGCACAUUGCGCCCGCCAGUAUUCUGGCGGGCAUGCCUGUUCGAGCGUCAUUUCAACCCUCAAGCCCAGCUUGGUGUUGGGGAUCGGCACAGGCGCCCUCGGGCGCCCGCCGUCCCCUAAAUCUAGUGGCGGUCCCGCUGCAGCCUCCUCUGCGUAGUAGUUUUCUCCUCGCAAGGGCAGCUCGGUGGCGACCUCGCCGUAAAACCCCCAACUUCUGAAAGGUUGACCUCGAAUCAGGUAGGGAUACCCGCUGAACUUAAGCAUAUCAAUAAGCGGAGGA
This 350-nucleotide unclassified non-coding RNA is filed under the name soil metagenome. Its description in RNAcentral is "partial contains 5.8S ribosomal RNA, internal transcribed spacer 2, and large subunit ribosomal RNA". The stretch from base 1 to 120 matches the Rfam family "5.8S ribosomal RNA", at positions 35 to 154 of the family's 154-position model. The record is from RNAcentral.